Molecule: small nucleolar RNA, 78 nt
Filed under: Myripristis murdjan (pinecone soldierfish)
Lineage: Eukaryota; Metazoa; Chordata; Actinopteri; Holocentriformes; Holocentridae
Source: RNAcentral
UUGCAAUGAUGUUUUGAAUUUCUUCACCUGAAUCACAUGUGUGGAUUCAAACAUACGAGCUUUUUAACCCUGAGCUAA